RNAcentral lists this transfer RNA (69 nucleotides) under Sphaerodactylus townsendi. RNAcentral's name for it is "tRNA-Ala". It matches the Rfam family "tRNA". Rfam says of the family: Transfer RNA (tRNA) molecules are approximately 80 nucleotides in length. The record is from RNAcentral. Lineage: Eukaryota; Metazoa; Chordata; Lepidosauria; Squamata; Sphaerodactylidae.
GGGCCUGUGGCUCAGUAGUAGAGCAUGCUUGGCAUACAGAAGGUCCAGGUUUAAUCCCUGGCAUCUCCA